UGAGGAGUGGUUUAAAAAUUGAUACCUUUGCACUUGUUCUAAGUAAACUUGGAUGUUACAGUAAAAUUCAAGUUCAAGAAACACAUUUGGAGCCUGUAACCAAUGCAAGCAGGCUCAGUCCAAUCUUAAUCUGUGCAAGAGUUUUCAGUUGCCUGCACCUAAACACCUGGGAUCUCUAGGUCAGAACUGGCUCAUUUUGCUUCUGCUUCAUAGUGAUAUUGAGGAUAUUGCAUAUUCCACUGAUGAGCCAGUGUUCAAGUCUUGGUAAUGUGAAUAAAUUUGUAUUUGUCAUAUCUUAAGUAUCAGAAAGCAUUUGGUAAUUAAAAUUAUUUUCCAAA
Molecule: long non-coding RNA, 338 nt
Filed under: Homo sapiens (human)
Lineage: Eukaryota; Metazoa; Chordata; Mammalia; Primates; Hominidae
Description: HSALNT0011988
Source: RNAcentral